AGAGGCUGUGGCUCAGUGACAAAGUAUCUGUUUUGCGUGGAGUAGAUCCUGGGUUCAAACCCCGGCAUUUCCA
Molecule: transfer RNA, 73 nt
Filed under: Sphaerodactylus townsendi
Lineage: Eukaryota; Metazoa; Chordata; Lepidosauria; Squamata; Sphaerodactylidae
Description: tRNA-Ala
Source: RNAcentral